RNAcentral lists this ribosomal RNA (496 nucleotides) under uncultured bacterium. RNAcentral describes it as "partial 16S ribosomal RNA". It matches the Rfam family "Bacterial small subunit ribosomal RNA", at positions 29 to 507 of the family's 1533-position model. The record is from RNAcentral.
ACGCACGCUGGCGGCGUGCCUCAUACAUGCAAGUUGAGCGCUGAAGGUUGGUACUUGUACCAACUGGAUGAGCAGCGAACGGGUGAGUAACGCGUGGGGAAUCUGCCUUUGAGCGGGGGACAACAUUUGGAAACGAAUGCUAAUACCGCAUAAAAACUUUAAACACAAGUUUUAAGUUUGAAAGAUGCAAUUGCAUCACUCAAAGAUGAUCCCGCGUUGUAUUAGCUAGUUGGUGAGGUAAAGGCUCACUAAGGCGAUGAUACAUAGCCGACCUGAGAGGGUGAUCGGCCACAUUGGGACUGAGACACGGCCCAAACUCCUACGGGAGGCAGCAGUAGGGAAUCUUCGGCAAUGGACGAAAGUCUGACCGAGCAACGCCGCGUGAGUGAAGAAGGUUUUCGGAUCGUAAAACUCUGUUGGUAGAGAAGAACGUUGGUGAGAGUGGAAAGCUCAUCAAGUGACGGUAACUACCCAGAAAGGGACGGCUAACUACGUG